Molecule: unclassified non-coding RNA, 432 nt
Filed under: soil metagenome
Description: partial contains 5.8S ribosomal RNA, internal transcribed spacer 2, and large subunit ribosomal RNA
Rfam family: 5.8S ribosomal RNA (bases 1-120)
Source: RNAcentral
GAUGAAGAACGUAGCGAAAUGCGAUACGUAAUGUGAAUUGCAGAAUUCAGUGAAUCAUCGAAUCUUUGAACGCAUAUUGCGCUCUCUGGUAUUCCGGAGAGCAUGCUUGUUUGAGUAUCAGUAAACACCUCAACUUCCAUAUCUUUUUUGAAAUGGGAGUUGGACUUGAGUGAUCCCAACGCUUUUCCUCACCGAAAAGUGGCGGGUUACUUGAAAUGCAGGUGCAGCUGGACUUUUCUCUGAGCUAUAAGCAUAUCUAUUUAGUCUGCCUAAAAAACAGAUUAUUACCUUUGCUGCAGCUAACAUAAAGGAGAUUAGUUCUUGUGCUGACUGAUGCAGGAUUCACAAAGACAGCUUCGGCCGAAUUUGUAAACUCGAUCUCAAAUCAAGUAAGACUACCCGCUGAACUUAAGCAUAUCAAUAAGCGGAGGA